CGGAGCAGCGGGCCCUGGCCGCGUCGAUCACGGCACUGGCUGGCCGAUACGUCACUUCCAGGCGUGGUGAAGUACGCGUCUCGUACGUGUACGAGCGAUAAAACGCGGACGCGAGUGUGCGCGAUCGCACGGUGGAUGUCGGUGGGCAGUGCUGAAAAUGGCCGUGUACGUGGACAGUUUCGCCGCUGAGACCGCCGAUCCUCGAUCCGAGGGAUAGCUUCUGCGCGCGUCACGGCGGAACGCGAUCUCUCGCACGCGCGCGCGCGCGUAAACGAUACGUCACUCUCGCCCCCUCGAUGGACGGACAUUGCGAGACGGAACGGAGCGUUGUCGACCCGAUUGCGGCUACAUUCCGGCGGACACUGCAACAAGGGGGAAGCGAGCGGACGGUGGAAUCGGGACUCGAAUCCAGGACUCCCUAGCCUAGCAUCACGUCGUGGACUCGUGGCGCCUGAUCGCGCGUGUCAGAGAAGUCGAUGCAUUAUUCAUCGCGCAUAUAAUUACCGAAGAUCGUCAGCAAUGGGUCGCGCUCGUCUUCUUAUCUGCACCGGCAGCGGUCCGCACCCGACGAUCAAUUAAGAAGCGCGACUCCGGAGUACGCAAAGAUGCGGGAGUGGUGCGGCACAGUCCCCUGGUGCCCAGCCAUCUAGGGAUCUAGAAGAGACAUCUGCGCCCACACAGGAAGCUGUUAUCCUGCGAUGAAGUAGACGUUGCAGCAACGUCCGACUGUGCGCAGAGUGCUGGAAGUGUCCCUUUAAAUGCGCCACGUGUCACAGUGCCGUGGAACGACAGUUUACUGAAUUCCGCUGCGCGCCGAGCGAAAAUUAUAUUUGAUUGCCGGCUCGAUAGCGCGUUUGUUUGGUAGCCACACUUUGUACAGAGUGUCGCAGAGUGUCGUUGAGGAUUUCUCGAUUGUGCGUUCAAGUUACGUAGUAGUCCAGUGUCUGAGUGUACGUGCGUUUACGUUGCAACGCGGCCGGCAGAAUGUCGUUCUUGUCGAAUCUGAAGAAAGCGUUCCACUUCGGUGGCAACGACGCGAAGAAGAAGAAGCUCUACAACAACAUCAAGAUGGACUGCAACCCGGAGGAGUUCUGGGAGAUGGUGGGUGAACUCGGAGACGGCGCGUUCGGCAAAGUCUACAAGGCGCAGCACAAGCAGUCCAACUAUCUUGCCGCUGCAAAAAUGUGCGCACUCGAGGGCGAGGACGAUCUUAGCGAUUUUAUGAUUGAGAUUGAUAUCUUGUCGGAGUGCAAGCAUCCCAACAUCGUUGAGUUGCACGAGGCCUAUUUCAUUGAGGGGAAAUUAUGGAUGUUAAUUGAAUACUGCGACGGUGGUGCUGUUGAUUCCAUAAUGGUCGAGCUGGAGAAAGCACUGACCGAGAUGCAGAUAGCGUACAUCUGCCAACAUAUGACGAAGGGUCUUGCCUUCCUGCACAAGUCCAAAGUCAUUCACAGGGACUUGAAGGCAGGAAACGUCUUGCUGACCAUGGCCGGGGGUGUUAAAAUAGCUGAUUUUGGAGUAUCCGCAAAGAACAAGCAUACUCUGCAGAAGCAUGAUACGUUUAUUGGUACUCCUUACUGGAUGGCACCCGAGGUGGUCCUGUGCGAAACGUUUCGCGACAAUCCUUACGACUUUAAAGUGGAUAUCUGGUCUCUUGGUAUAACUCUGAUAGAGUUUGCACAAAUGGAGCCACCGAACCACGAAAUGUCGCCGAUGCGAGUGCUACUUAAAAUACAGAAAAGCGAUCCGCCGAGGUUGGAUCAGCCGGGGAAAUGGAGUAAGGAAUUUAAUGAUUUUAUAGCUAAAGCACUUAUAAAGGACCCGACCUCACGACCCAACGCUGACGAUUUGUUAAGACAUCCGUUCAUAAGCCGAAAUUUAGAUUCAAAGCCUGUCAGGGAUUUGUUGCUUGAAUAUAAGGCGGAUGUUGUCGAAGAGGAGCUGGUAGAUGACGAAGCGGAGGAGCAGCGCACGUCUCAGCUUCCCCUGGAGCUGGAUCAGAUCACAGAUGACUCCGCCCCUGCGCGUCCUGAUGCUGAUGUUAAAAUCGCCGAAAAGGAGAAUCUCGUGGCAGUGCCCGCGAAGAAGGAAGAAAGCCACAAGCGCGAGAUCAAUCGGGAUGGCGAGAAGGAGGACAAGAACAAGAGAUUACGUAAGGCUGAGUCCAAGGAGAACAUACAGCCCCCUGCCGAGAAGAAGCAGGCACCUAAGCCACCGAGCGAGACAAGCGAGCGUAGAUUAUCUCGAGAUAAAGGGCCGGCGCCCCCGCCGCCGCCCAUGCGUCAAGACAGCGAGGAGAAGAAGAAGAAAGACGACGAGAACGUCGUGAAGGACAUGGAGAAAAUUAACGCCACGAAACCGGCGGACAAGAAUCAGAAGCCUAUCGAAGACAAACUGCAAAGCAAUAAAUUGUCGCACGAGAAGAUGGCAGAUCAACAGGCGAAUGUUAAGGAGCCGAGAAACUUGGAGAUGGAGGAUCAGAUGCAAAACGAACUGAAUAGUUCCGAGAAGAUGAAGAAGUCCGAGAGCGAAGAGAGCGGCAAGCUCUUCGAUAAUAUAAAGCGAUUCGAAAAUCAGCAGAAGCUGAUGAACAAUAAAUCGAGCCCGGCUUCGAGGAAGCAAUUGAGCGUGAACGAGAAACGCAAGUCGGCACCUGUGAAGCCGGAGAUGAUCGAGGACUUGUCGAAGAUUAUAUACAAUAAGCAGUUAUCUCUAGAGGAUAAAAACGGAACAAAGAAUAAGUUGUCGUCCGUCGAUGACGUAACGAAUUACGAGUUGCCAUCCCGCGAGAAGGAGGACUACAAGAGCCUGGAGGAAAAGCGAAAGUCCGUCGGCGAGAAACUCAACGCCGUGUUGGAGAAACGAUUGUCCAUGGACGCGGGGAAAAGGAAGAGCGACGGCUCCAUGGACACGUCAAAGCACAUAUCUGUCGCGUCGACGUUCCUGUCGGAGAAGAACAAGAACGUUAAAGCCAAUUCGACGGAGGACAUCAAGACGCAGUUUGGCGUCGCGAAGACUGAGAGUCCCGUGAAGAGCCGUAGCGCGGGAUCGUCCAGGAACGACUCCCUGGAGAGCUUCUCGGACGAGUUGCACACUAAAACGGAUAGCGCUAAGACGGAAUACAGUCAGGAGGACACGGUGAGCGACGACAAGAGCUCGGAGAAACAGGAUUCGGGUAUUAACGUGUCGGUGAUCACGUCGACGCCGAUCAGGAGCAGAAAUGGCUCGAGGAGGAACAGCGGGGACAACAUAGUAGUCAUUACUGGAAAAGCUCAACCUGAGCAAGAAGUACGCUUAAACACAUCGACCGUUCGUAUCACUGCCGAUUUGCCAGACAUGUCGAACAGUCUGGCAAGUAAUAUAAGUCAGGUAACCGUCGUGACGACGCAUCCGCCUGUGUUGGUGGAUGCGCCGUCGGCAGCAACAGCGGCGGCGGCGGCGACGACGACGACGCCUCUCUCACGUCGCACUUCUCCGACGUCGGAAGUCGUUAUCGUUGCCAACGAGAUGAACAAAACGCAGGUAAACGACAAUUCUAUCGACGACGACGCGUUCCCUAGUCUGGACAGCCUGGAAUACACGCCGCAGGAGCAGCCUAUUGUACUUACUGACGUGUCUAAGAAAAUUGGCAAGAGGCUGGACGAGUCAGAGGUGAUCAUAGUGAGUCCGAUCGUGGAGCUGCAAGAUACGAGUCACGUGUCGGUAGUCACCGUCGGCGAUGACAGGGAGCAAGUGAAGGACUCGUCGAUAUCCAAGAAGCACAACGUUAUCCGCACCGGUUCGUCUCACAGUGAUUUGAGCUCGAACGAGAGAUCGAGCCUGAAGAGCGACAGUGGAGACGAAGGCAGCAAGGUGACAGUUGCCAGCGCAGCAGCAAUCGACUCGCCGGACGCGGACGAUUACGAGAGAAACGCGAAGAAGGUAAACGGACUGAUCAAGAACGAGAUGCCGCAUCACGCCGAGGACAGAAUCGUCAAGACGGUCAAGUCGAAAGAGGUCAACGUCAAGGGUUUCGGCAAGGAGAAACGCGUCUCUCCGGACAGCUUCGAGGGUUCCAGGUCUCAGAGCGACUCCAGUUCCAUAAGAUCACAUACGCCGAGCAAGAGCAUCGAUCGCUCGGACGCCGAGUCCAUCUCGACGACGAUCAGCCAAGAUAGCAGAGAAUCGAACAAGGAGAAUCGCCUGAAUCAGACUCAGCAUACGGAGGUCGACGAGGAGGUCGUCCUGCGCCGCAAGCCGGACUACAAUCGCGAGGUAUCCCGACCGACCAGGACGAAGGAGGACAUACAGAUGAUGAAUCUGAAGAAGAAGACGAGGAAGCGCACGAGGAAGUUCGAGAUUGACGGCGUAGUUGUGACGACAACGACCUCGAAGGUGAUAUAUGGCGACGACGAGAACGGCAAGGUGUACGACGAUCAGAUAUUCCGGAAGCAAGAACUGCGGGAGCUGAAGAUGCUGCAGAAGAUGGAGCAGAAGCAAUUCCAGGACCUGGCGCAGAAGGCUCAAUUCAACAAGGACCAGCAGGAGAAACGUUUCGAGCAGGAACGCCAGCUGUUGGAGCGUAGCGCCGAGGCGGACCUGGAGACUCUCGCCAGGCAGCAGAGACAGCAAAUCGAGCGUGCCGAGGCGCAGCAGGAGGUCGACUUGCGACUGGCGUCCAAGAAGAUCCGCAGCGAGCAGGAGAGGGAGCUCAAGCAGUUCCGGGAAGGCCUGAAGCAGGAACUGAGACUGCUCAAGCAGGAGAUCGACCUAAUGCCAAAGGACAAACGAAAGAGUGCGUUCAAGAUACGGAAGGAGAAGCUCGAGGCGGAACACGAGGAGCGCGAGAAGCUGUUCCUGGAGAAGCUGAACGAGAGUCACGAGAUGUCGUUGAGGCGACUGUCGGACGGUCACCGUGAGAAGAUCGCGCUGAUGGAGAGGCAAUUCCUGCAACAGAAGCAGCAGCUGAUGCGCGGCAGGGAGGCGGCGAUCUGGGAGCUAGAGGAACGGCAGAUACACGAGCGGCAGCAGCUGCUGAAGAGGCAACUCAAGGAUGUAUUCUUCCUGCAGAGACACCAGAUGCUGAUACGACACGAGAAGGAGCUCGAGCAGAUGAAGAGGAUGAACCAGAGGAAGGAGGAGGAGCUGAUCAAGCGGCAAACGGUCGAGCGCAGGAAUCUGCCGAAGAGGAUCCGCAACGAGAUGAAAGCGCGCGAGAUGAUGUUCCGGGAAUCGAUGAGGAUCUCGAUGUCGUCGGUGCUUGCGCCAGAUCCCGACGCCGAGCGCGAGAAACUGAAAAAGUUCCAAGAGAACGAGAAGAAGAGAUACCGUGCGGAGCAGCAGAGAUUCGAAUUGAAGCAUUCCAGACAGCUGGAGGAGGUGCGUGCCCAGAGCGACGCGACGAUCAAGGAGCUGGAGCAGUUGCAGAACGAGAAGCGGAAGAUGCUGAUGGAGCACGAGACGCUCAAGCUGAAGGAGCAGGAGGAGGCUUACGGUAAAGAGCUCCGUGAGUGGAAAGCGCAUCUUAAACCCCGCAAGCAGAAGGUAGAAGCUGAUCUGGCGGCUGAUAUGGAAGCAUUGGAAAAGCGCUACCAAGACUAUUUGCCUUCUUCUGGUCUUAGUGGUCUCUCUUUUCCCUUUUUCGACUAUUCUAAAAUCAAACUUGAAGAACAGUUCGCGUUACAGUUGGAGGAGCAGGAAGCGAUUUACGGGCCCAGUGCAAUACCGUUGUGCUUGCCGGCCGAUCUUCCCGACCUGACGCACCACACGACCGAGUCGACGCGUAGCUCGUUGUCUUCCGUAAGCGAGGGCUGAGGCGGCGUCCCAAGGAGUUAUACGAGAGAACGUGUACAUAGCUUUGCGUAACUUCGCAUUCAGGCGUCUCCGCAGCGUGCACGUGGGACAGACAAUCGGCGUGUCUCCGCGCGCCGAUCGUCACCUACGGCUCACCUGGACGUGGGCGCGUGACUCCGUGUCGUCCGUACGUGUGAAUAAAUAAUCGAGCCACUCGGGAGUAGCGGCGGUGUUUCGAAAUCUUUUACUCGUUUGCGAUUCUUGGCUGUCGUCGAGACGCGAAGUAACGGCGCGGCGUCGUUGAAGCAGAGAGCACCGUUUAACCGAAAUUCAACCGAAACGCAAUAAUAGCCCGCAAUGAUACCAGGCUCUCGAAUCUGGACGCAGGUACUACUCGGCGAAUGCUAUACCGAAGAAGCCAGUUCACGUUUGAUACUAGAAUUAUACCUUGUUCGAAAUGUGUCUGUAUAAAUUGUUAUAUAUUUAUAUACUUUGAUAGCGAUAUGCGCACGCAUUGGUACACUUAAAUUAAUCCGCCCAAUACCCAAGACCCGCGGUCUUACCGCGAAACGCGAAAGACAUGAAAUACUCGGUCGAGGGGUGCCGAGCGCGUCCCUCGCACGUGUUGCCUACGGUGUAAGAACGUUAAUCACGUCUGUUAAUGCCAAUUUAACCGGUAAUUACUUUGUAAGGGAGGAUAAUCCAUCGCGACCACGUUGUUAUGUAUGUACGUAUGUUUAUAGGGAAGCUGCGUAACGUUUUACAGUUACAUACAAUCCACAAGCAUGGAAUGUAUAUUUUCGACAUUUCGUAUCUCGAGGAGCCGUAAUACCAAUUCGGUGGACACGAUCGCGGCACCGUUUGGGGACACAAAUCGGAAAUUUGCAACGUUACGUUUGUUUAUACAGUAGCGCGGUAGCGUUAGGCGGCAAGUAAUAUAAAUCGCCCGACUUGUUUUAAAUGAUUAUGAUUUUGAGAGAAGAGGUAUUACAUAUACAUAUAUAUAUAUAGUGAAAGAGAGAGAGAGAGAGAAUCGCUGGAUGUACAUGGUAAACGUCAUGUAAUAAUGUUAAGCCGUAGUCACCAUGUUCGGUUAUAUAGUUACGUUAUUUAUAAAAAAAAGUUUAUAGUAGCAACGCGAGUAUUCUACUUCAGACAAAUAUUUUAGUAAAUAUCGGUAAACUCGAAUUACUUUGUUCCUUGAUCCUUGCGCUGUUUCUCUCAAAUACGUAAAGUGGAAAGCGACAGAUUCCCGAAUUGUUUACUGUAGAUCGUACCAUCAUCAAAAUGCAUCGAUGUGGCAAACGAUUGUAGCAUAUAUUUUCCAAAUUUGUAAUUGCCUAGAGAACAUGUAUGUUCGAACACGCGCGCAUUUCCUGCGAGGAAUUUGUUUAUUCAAAUUAAAGUGAAAUUAAAAAAUUCUGAGUACGUAGGAAGGAUUUGAUGAAUUAGAUGAAUCAUAGAAGGAACAAAGUAAUCUGGUUUUACAAUUGCACUAAAAAUCAAAGGAUAACACCAAAUAUACAUACAUUGUACGUUUGCAUGGCUGUGUAGCCUGAUGACGUUCUAGAGAAUCUCUCUUUAAUGCAUACUUAAAACGAGCAUGCGUGGCUAAUGCGAGUUGUAGAUAAAGAUUACUUGUAAAAAAUAUCUUUUUUUUUAUUGUAAAUUACUUCUCGCUACAACGUUAAUUAGUUUUGAUGUGCAGGAUGUCUCCCGAAUUUGUUAAACGUCCCCUUCGAUCGACCACUUGUUUAAUCGCCUCAACAUUAUUUUUUCUGAAAAGAAAAGAUAAAAAGCGGGAGACGCAGUAAAGAUGAGACAUCCUGCAUGUACGUUUCGAUUUGUUUCGAGGAGUUUCGUGUACAUAGUAUUCCGAUGAAUUGCUUAAGUAUCGAGGAACUGUAAUCUAGUAUGAAUAUCAUGUUGCAAUGAUUCACUGAGAAACCAGGUUUUCUUUCCUUCAUCAAUAAAUACCGUGUAUAUCUCGUC
RNAcentral lists this unclassified non-coding RNA (7764 nucleotides) under Ooceraea biroi (clonal raider ant). RNAcentral describes it as "serine/threonine-protein kinase 10, transcript variant X6". The record is from RNAcentral. Lineage: Eukaryota; Metazoa; Arthropoda; Insecta; Hymenoptera; Formicidae.